Molecule: long non-coding RNA, 564 nt
Organism: Myotis brandtii (Brandt's bat)
Lineage: Eukaryota; Metazoa; Chordata; Mammalia; Chiroptera; Vespertilionidae
Exons: 6
Source: RefSeq, a predicted model, not a curated record
CGAUGCUCAACCACUAAGCAGCACCAGCCCAGCUAAAUAGACACUGAGCACACACAUCGACACUGAGGACAACAAAGUGCCUCUCCUUGUAAAGAUAAAGGACUACAGUAUACCUUCGGCCUGCCCUGGAGGAAAUGUCUCAAGAAGAGAGAGUGGGUUUGCCCCUUUUUUAGGUACUACGGAAAUAAAUGCAAUUAGACCAUUUGUCAUCAAGAAGAACAAGUACAUAAGAGCAGAAGAGAACAGACCUGCAGCUGGUGUGGCCACAUUAGCAGGAGACUCAGAGAAGCUUUUAAGGUUGACUUGAGCAAGUUCCAAGGGCCAGCAACUGAAGGUGAACUCUGAUUCUUUCCUGGCUUCUUCGCAUUUUUUGGAAUUGAAAUGGAUUAAAUACCAUGAGUAAUUUGGAAGUUCUCUGGAGGCAAGUGAACAUCAGAGAUGCCUUGUUCCACCUGGGCUGCACAUGUGACUAGCGCUCACUCCUCCAGGUGGAUCCACAUUCAUCCAACCUGUGUAAUAACAACCACCAGCUUUGCCCCAGGAGGCCAGCUCUGCGUCUUUCUC